CAUCGCGGACAGCGCGGCUGUGCGGGCGGAGAGCUGUCGCUACCACUUUCUCUGGAAGUUCAUUCCACACAGGCUCGUGUGUUAAAGUGACAGGCAGCUGGAAGCUCGGGGUCUGUUUUUGCAGCAGAACGUAGAUCAUCAGUCGCCAUUUCCGCCACCACCACUGAGAUGCUGCCAGACACAGGUUCCUGUCCUCUCCAUUAACAGCUGUGCACCCUCCCAGCCAGGAUGAGGCUGUCACUGGCUCGGCCAGCAUUUAUUGCUGCGUUUACCCAGAGGGCAGUUAAGAAUCAACCACGUUGCU
Molecule: long non-coding RNA, 304 nt
Organism: Hemiscyllium ocellatum (epaulette shark)
Lineage: Eukaryota; Metazoa; Chordata; Chondrichthyes; Orectolobiformes; Hemiscylliidae
Exons: 3
Source: RefSeq, a predicted model, not a curated record